This 457-nucleotide ribosomal RNA is filed under the name uncultured bacterium. RNAcentral describes it as "partial 16S ribosomal RNA". It matches the Rfam family "Bacterial small subunit ribosomal RNA", at positions 29 to 507 of the family's 1533-position model. The record is from RNAcentral.
AUUGAACGCUGGCGGCAUGCCUUACACAUGCAAGUCGAACGGUAACAGGUUAAGCUGACGAGUGGCGAACGGGUGAGUAAUGUAUCGGAACGUGCCCAGUCGUGGGGGAUAACUGCUCGAAAGAGCAGCUAAUACCGCAUACGACCUGAGGGUGAAAGCGGGGGAUCGCAAGACCUCGCGCGAUUGGAGCGGCCGAUAUCAGAUUAGGUAGUUGGUGAGGUAAAGGCUCACCAAGCCGGUGAGGGGUAGCUGGUCUGAGAGGAGGACCAGCCACACUGGGACUGAGAGACGGGCCAGACGGCUACGGGAGGCAGCAGGGGGGAAUAUUGCACAAUGGGCGAAAGCCUGAUGCAGCAACGCCGCGUGAGGGAGGAGGGCCUUCGAGUUGGAAACCGCUUUCGCAUGUGACGAAGCGUGAGUGAAGGUAAUGGGUAAAGAAGCACCGGCUAACUACGUG